GUAGUUUGCUACUUUUAAUAUGUAAGUUAAAUUUAUUCAUUAUAGCUGGAAUUAGAAAGACUAACUUCAACUAUGUGGGCUUGUUUCAGCUAUCCAGUGCUAUUCUUAAAUAAUGUGACAAUGUAAACUACUUAAAAAUAUACAGGUGAUGCUUUUGUAUAAUCAUUGGAGUAUUAAAGAUGGAGGUAGAACCAUUUUCUGAUGAGAAGCAGAAUGUUUUGUUGGAUAUCAAACCGAU
This is a long non-coding RNA of Limulus polyphemus (Atlantic horseshoe crab), 238 nucleotides long. RefSeq lists it as uncharacterized. The record is from RefSeq and is a predicted model, not a curated record. The transcript is spliced from 2 exons. Lineage: Eukaryota; Metazoa; Arthropoda; Merostomata; Xiphosura; Limulidae.